GGGAAUGCCACUGCCACGUCAGA
This 23-nucleotide non-coding RNA is filed under the name Arabidopsis thaliana (thale cress). The record is from RNAcentral. Lineage: Eukaryota; Viridiplantae; Streptophyta; Magnoliopsida; Brassicales; Brassicaceae.